GCUGGGCACGGUGGUGCAUGCCUGUAAUUCCAGCACCUCAGGGAGACAGAAGCAGGAGGAUCACAAGUUCAAAGCCAGCUUCAGCAAUUUAGUGAGGCUCUAAGCAACUUAGUGAGACCCUGUCUCAA
RNAcentral lists this small RNA (128 nucleotides) under Marmota monax (woodchuck). Lineage: Eukaryota; Metazoa; Chordata; Mammalia; Rodentia; Sciuridae. The record is from RNAcentral.